Macaca fascicularis (crab-eating macaque) is the source of this 117-nucleotide unclassified non-coding RNA. It matches the Rfam family "Metazoan signal recognition particle RNA". Rfam says of the family: The signal recognition particle (SRP) is a universally conserved ribonucleoprotein. It is involved in the co-translational targeting of proteins to membranes. Lineage: Eukaryota; Metazoa; Chordata; Mammalia; Primates; Cercopithecidae. The record is from Ensembl.
GCCAGGCGUGGUGGCUCACGCCUGUAAUCCCAGCAGUUUGGGAGGCUGAGACAGAUGGAUCGCUUGAGCCCAGGAGUUUGAGACCAGCCUGGGCAACAUGGCGAAAACCUGUCUCUA